RNAcentral lists this ribosomal RNA (375 nucleotides) under Sclerophrys garmani (olive toad). RNAcentral's name for it is "partial 12S ribosomal RNA". It matches the Rfam family "Bacterial small subunit ribosomal RNA", at positions 794 to 1381 of the family's 1533-position model. Lineage: Eukaryota; Metazoa; Chordata; Amphibia; Anura; Bufonidae. The record is from RNAcentral.
GCCCAGCCGUAAACUUUUAUCUACAUCUCAAUCGCCAGGGAACUACGAGCUAAGCUUAAAACCCAAAGGACUUGACGGUACCCCAUAUCCCCCUAGAGGAGCCUGUCCUAUAAUCGAUAAUCCACGUUUAACCUCACCAUUUUUAGUUAGUCAGCCUGUAUACCUCCGUCGUCAGCUUACCACGUGAGCGAGAAUUAGUGAGCUCAAUGUUUUUUCACCAACACGUCAGGUCAAGGUGCAGCAAAUGAAAUGGGAAGAGAUGGGCUACACUUUCUACUAUAGAAAAAACGAAAAACUACUUAUGAAACCUAGUUAGAAGGCGGAUUUAGCAGUAAAAAGGAAUCAGCACGUCCAUUUUAACUCGGCACUGGGGUG